Vicugna pacos (alpaca) is the source of this 6294-nucleotide non-coding RNA. Lineage: Eukaryota; Metazoa; Chordata; Mammalia; Artiodactyla; Camelidae. The record is from RefSeq and is a predicted model, not a curated record.
GCCCGUCCGUGUAUCCCCCCACCCUACCCCGAUUGCUUUAUUUAAAUAGGCAGCCAGAUCCACACGGACACAAUAAUUUCGCUUGUUUGGUUUUGGGCAUUUUCUGCAGGACCCCUAGAGAUGGACCCUCCCCUCCCCUUCCUCCCUCUAGAACUGGCAUCCUUCAUCUCUGUCUAUACAGGCCCAAUUAUACAGAUCCUUGAGGUUCCAAUAGGAUCUGAGUCACUGGAACCAGGAACACCUGGCCGAAACAUGCCGUGUAAUUAGAUAGGAUUUUCUUUUUCUUUACCUUUUCUUCCUUUUCCUUUUGUCCUUUCUUUCUUUUUAAAAGAGGGUUGGAAUUACCCUCCUUGGCUAGGGCGGAGAAGCUGGGGUGGGCAAAUGGAAGACCUUCAUACAAGGCCCAGCUUCCAGACCCUUGCAGAGAUCUCCCUGAGCCAGACUAGCUUCCUUUGCUCGGUCUCUCGGCCUCCUCCUCCUGCAAUCGUGUUUUGUUUUUUUGUUUUUAAAUCUCCCCCUACUGUUUUCUUUUCGGUUUAAUCAAAGUUCAGCGACUCCACUUGCCUCUCCUCUGGUUUCCCUCGGAAAGCGGAGACAUGACAACCCAGCGGCCGCGAACUGAGUGGUCCCAGCACAACCACGGACUGCCGGCGGGACCUCCCUUCGCCUGCCUCCCUCCGCCGCCUGCUCCGGCCUCCCGGACCUGGGUCCCUUGCCCAUCCACCGUCCCGCAGAUGUGCAGCUACUGGCCUAGGGGAUCUGAAUCGCUGGGGCUGGGGUUGGAAUGUCCUGUCUUCCCUUAGGCCCUCAGGUUGCACCAGAAAGUUCUUAGAGGGUGGGUACACCCGGACUCAGGCAACUUAGGCCCCCCCAAACCCAUGGCUGACUAAUCUGAUAUGACAAAAGCCCGUGAUGGAUUUGGUAUAUGUUAAUUCACAAUGCCCUUUCCUCCAGAAUUUAACUAUAAGUUAAUACACACCGGAAACCACGCGCAAACACGCUUGUUAAUGGGCUUAGGUAUUAGCGAGUCCUAACGAUGCAUACAAAUGCGCUCUGCCUCUGUAGGCCCCUCAAGAUUUAUGGGCCUUGAGCUCUCUGAAGCUGUAAACAAGGAGAAAAAAAAAGAGAGAGAGAGAGAAAGAGAGAGAGACUAGGGGGAAGAGACAGAGGCCUGACUUGCCCCUCCAGGUUGUGGGAGAGAAGGGAUCUCUGCAAGUGGGUUCUUACAUAUUUUCCUUUCCUUUCAAGUGCGUUGUGUGGGUUUUGGCAUCUGUCUGGGGAUGGUGGUUGGGUCUGAAUGCUGGUGUGCGUGGGCAACGUGUUGUUUGUGUGCUGGGGUAGGAUGCCAGUCUCCUCUGAAUUGCUGUUCAGGAGCCUGAAUAGAGUAGGUAUUUGUGGGUAUAUACCUGUGAAUGUGUGCACUGUGCUAGGAGGGGUGUGUGUCUGUGUGCACAUGCACGUGUGACAAGCAGGCCUCCCUCUGGGCCAGGCUGCUGUCCCCUGAACCUGGUGAACAAAUCAACAACACUCAUAAGAACAAUAAAAAUAACAAUAAAAACAGUAGUUAGCCAUCCCUUCCUAGCAGGGUAACAAUAAAAUGCAGAAGGAGAUAUUUUGAGGAGGGGACAGUGGAAGGAGUGGUGAUUAUAGCAACUGGGGGAAGAAAAGAAAGGAAAGAAGGAAGUUAACUUCUUCCUAUGCCCUUGGGGGGCUGGGUGUGGGAACCCCUCACCCCAGAUGAGGUCCUCCAGCCAGAGGAGGAGAGGGAGAGCCAGGAGGCCGCUCUGUCCCGCUUCUCUUUCUCGGCUUUUGCUUUGUGCGAUGAGGGGAAGAACCCCACAUAGGGGGUUGGUUAGUGGCUUUGGGAACUCUUUAGAGCCCCUGUUUUAAAGAGAGGGCCAAGCGUGUAGGAUCAAGCCCAGGGGCAGAGAUGGAUGCAGCGAUGACCACAGCCGGUGUCCAGGCUGGGUGAGCGGCAGGGGUGCCCGGGAGGACCAGCCGCCAGGCAGAGAUCGAAGCAGAAAAACACUUAUGGCCGCCCGAGAGAUGGGAGAGCGAGGCCCGGGGCUCCGGUAGCCCCAGGAAAGUUGCCUUCCUGGGGUCUUUUCAAAGGAAAAAAAGAGAGAGAGAGAGAAGGGAGGGGUUGAGGCACGUUGAAUUUUCCUUCCCGGGCUUGGAGCGGAGCGGAUUUCCAUAAAGGAAGAGAAGAGCACGGUCCUGGAUCCUUCCACGUCCGCCUCAUUCAAUCCAGGCCUCUCCACUUGCCCGAGCUCCCAGCCACCAGGAGAUUGACACGGAAGGGGCUUCUGGGCUGCCCCCCACCAACUCCCGCCUGGUUUCCCCAAAUCCAGCGACCUCCAGACCUCUUUAGGGGGAAACUAUCAGUGCCCAGACACCUCUGCGCCCUGUCCUGUGUGACUGUGCUCUCACACGGAAUAUCUCACAAAGAAGAAAGGCUGGUUUAGAGCCGUGUUUACACGUAGUUCUACAGAUCCCUUCACAUCUGGAGAGUUUAUUUAUAACUCCCACUGUAACUCUCUCUGUUUAGAGGCACUGGUGGCUCUAUUGACAGACUGAUGUCUAGAAAAUAUUGCUCCAUCUCUAACCAUACCUGAAUGUGCUGUGGUUGUAUUUACAGAUUUACGCUUGAGGAAAAUAUGAUUAUUUUCAUUAUAUUUGUGCAUAUACAAUAGUUAUAGGAACAGAUUUAUAUAUGGGAAAAUAUACGGCUCUCUUAUAGCCAUCCAGCUUUAUGGACAUUUGAUAUCCUGACAGAUUUAUCUCUCUGAGCAGCUAUAUAGAUAAAUGUAUAUCGUUGGAAUUAUGUAUCAGAAGAUAUACACUUAUUGAUUGUGAUAUAGAGUAGUUAGAACAUUCACUUGGAGCCAUAUAUGGCUACGGAGAUAUUUCUAUAUUAUUAUCACUAUAUAUAGGCAUAUCUAUUUAUAACUACAUAGUUAUAAAAAUAGACAUAAGUAAUUAUAGUCCUAUAUGUACAUGCUGCUAUCUCUCUCGAGUUAUAGACACUUGUGAAUAUAACUCUAUAGAGAUUUUUGUAUGUAUAUAAGGAUGUAAUUAUCUCAUGAUGUGUGUGUACUGGGGCUUAGGCCAGUCUAUCUCUGUACAGGCAUAUUUAUAUGCAGGGGCUGGGAGAGACUUGUUCGUGGAAAUGUUUCCAGAGGGCCAACAGAGAGGUUGUAUCUGGCCAUCUAGGAAAUCAUCUAGCAGAGUUCUUUACUUACGGAGGGAUGGAGUUGCAAAAGGGUAAACAGAGCAUAGGAAGCCUCAAGGAGAGGAGGCAAAAGGAAGGAGAUUGAGGCUCCGCACAGACAUUCAGGGAGGAAGGACGACAGCCCGGCACCCACCGAGGAAAGUGGAAACCGGUUUUGUGAGGGGCUCGUGCAGGGAGGGCCUGGGUCUUAUGGAAGGGGAGGCAGUGAACUACUGUACAACCCAGAGAAUGCUCUCCACUGAGGGAGAGAGCGGGCAGGCCUUAAAGGGCCUUCUGUUUGACUUUUAGUGCCCUACAGCUCAGCUACUGCCUAGCCCCACUCUCACCCCUGGUGCAUUUCCCUUGAAGCCUAAUUUUGGGAUCUGAAAGAGUGGGCUUCAGAGGUGAAGAAAUUUGGAAGGGACAGAGCAGGAAGUGGGGUGCCCUUUUGUUGCCACAGCUCUCUGGUGGUACAGCCAGGAAAUCGAGGUAAUGUGACCAAAUACAGCUUGCUUUCACCUGGGCCUCCUGUGCUCCUGGGAAGCCGGGUGGAUUGAGGUGAAUUUUCCAGCAGUGGGCCUGUUCUGAUGGGAUUUUGGGGAGGACCUUCUCACCUCUCCUUUCUCAGAGGCCUGGGCUUCAGAGGCCUAAUUCUGCUCCACUGGGCCACUCCUCUGUGGCUCCCCAAAUUGGGGUUUCCCCUUCUCUGGAUACCUAGGGGCCCCUCCAGCUCCCUAACAACCCUGUCUGGGGCCUUUAUGGGGAGAAUUUGACUUUAAUGAGCAGGGAACAUGGACCUGAACCUCUAUCCCUCACUUCUACUUAUCUCCUUGGUUCUCCUGCCGGCCCCCUUCCAGGCGCCACCAAGCCCAGGAGCCACAGUUCUCCUGCCACCAACCGUCCCAGGGGAAAAAAGAUGCCCCCAACCCCAUUUCACUUUUUUUUAAACUAGGGAGUCACAGGCAUCUUUGCUGAAUGGUUUGUGUGAAGGAGUUUCUCUGUUCUCAGUCUCAGAGGCCAGCUGCGCUUCCAGGAUAUCCAGGAUGCUGGGAAGAGCGUGGAGACCCCCUCGGCUGGGGUUAAAAGCCAAGCUCCAGCCUCCACACACCACUGCCCACUGGAUGGGAGUUCCAAGGCAGGGACUCUCUCUGCUGCCUGGCACAGAAGGUGUCGCCCAGUACAUACUUGUUGCAAUAGACAAACCUAAAGACAAUCAAUCCAAAAGCUUUUGGCGGAGGGAGUCACCCUCCUCAGCCACCGCAGCCUAGCAGGCAUCCGGGUACCCCAGCUGAAGCCAGCUGGGGGUCACAUGGCAGCUGCCUGCAGUGGGCGCUGGUGGGGUCAUGGUUAGUACCAGGGCAAGAGAGUAGCCCCAGCCUGAGAUGGGGGGCUUGGGGGCGGAGUGAUGUACCCAGAACCAAGAAAUGGGGGUGAGGGCAAAGCAGGUUCCCCAUCCUCAGUCUCCUGGCUCCCCAGACCCCCAAGUAUAUGAAAACUAAGCUAGAAAUGAGACUUGGGCUGGGAUGGAGCUGCCUGUGGGCCUGAGGUGCCCAAAGAGGAACCACCACUUGAUCCAUUAAGAAAUACUCAAAUAAAACAAACAUAAAUCAGUGGAGGCAGCUUGCCUGGCUGAGGAAAGGCCUCUAUGCCUCAGCCCUGCUCCAGGGAUGCUACCAAACUGAUCCCAAUUAAUGUUUAAAAAGUUUUUUAACUUUAAAAAGAUCACAAAUUUUCUAAUACAGUAACACCCCCUAAUCAGGUCAUUUCAUAUAGUUAUUUCUUAAUUGUCAUCAUUCCCCGUGCUUUGGUCCCUAUAGAAUAGUUCCUUCUGGGAGUCUGGGGACAGGCGGUCGCUGGCAGUGAAUGGGUGAGAUAGAUAAGUUCAGAGUUUCCCCAUCUAGUGAGGAUCCAGGUCUGCAGGGAAGGGUCCCCCUUCCCCUCAGGCUUGGAGCAGGGAGGACACUCCCAAAUUUGGUUCCUUUUUUCCCUAAGGACACUUAGAGGCAAUCUGCCCAAUGUCUGGGUGAGGGACUGAGGUCCAGAGAGGGGACUAAGUUUAACCUGGAAUCUCAUUUCUAGUUCACUCAGGGUUUGGACACCCAGCUCCCCCAACCCACCACCACCACACACACACCUAACACCCACAGGGAUGGUGGAUGCUUUCCUUGAGGAAAUGCAGGGAGAGAGCAGAGGGGCUGGCAUUUACAUACGUUUGCUUAAGCAAAACUCGGAGCAGGUGUCUGGGCUCUGGCCAGGAGGUGGGGGCAGUUUACUGUAAACCUCAGAACAUGUGGGUUUCAAAUAACAAUUGUCUUUGGCCAAAAGGCAGGAAAUGAAGAGACACUGGCCAUACUUUGUUUCACCUAGAGAGUUUGGGUCCCUUUACAUGGGCUAGAAUGGCUCUUAGCUAUUUCUGGGUCCCACACUCCUUUGAGAUGCUCAUAAAAAUAAUUCGCUCUCUUUCCAGCGAACGCACGGACACAGUGUUGCUGAAAGUGGCAGGGAUUAAAUGGAGCCAGGAAGCCCAGGAUCUAGGGCUAUGGAGCCCUAGUUUGUAUAUUUAUUUACCCUACCUUUCUUGACCCAUCCCCAGUUGUCUGCCUUUAUUUUGGCUCUCCCUGGUCUCCUUGUUUGGGAGGCAGGAAUUUCCUCCCCAAGUGUAAGCUCUGCCAUUCUUUUUUUUUUUUUUUUUUUUUUAACACCACGACUUCUCUUUAUUUCCUCCUGGGCAGUGACCCCUCUGGGAGUCUGGAUCCCGGCUAGCCCUGCCAUUCUUGGCAAAGCCCUUUUCCUUCUUUCCUUCCCUAGCACAGACAUCGGGCAGAGGCCCUGCAGGCUUAUGCUGAGCUCUUAUCUGCUCUCCUGCAGAAACUGGGAGAGUGGCUGUUAACUGAAGCCUGGUCUCCACUGCCCAAUUACUCCACUAAUUCCUGAGGGUGGGGGGAGUCUGGGGGCAUCUUGGCAGCAGCAGAGGCCUGACUAUAAGGGGACCAAUUCCCAUCUCUGGUGGAAACUUGGAUGCAAGGAGCAACUUGCAAUUGCUAUAAUAAUAGUCAUAAUAAUAACAAUAAUAAUUUAUUUAG